AGAACGACUCUCGGCAACGGAUAUCUCGGCUCUCGCAUCGAUGAAGAACGUAGCGAAAUGCGAUACUUGGUGUGAAUUGCAGAAUCCCGUGAACCAUCGAGUCUUUGAACGCAAGUUGCGCCCGAAGCCGUCAGGCCGAGGGCACGUCUGCCUGGGCGUCACGC
This 164-nucleotide ribosomal RNA is filed under the name Trichostema brachiatum. Its description in RNAcentral is "5.8S ribosomal RNA". It matches the Rfam family "5.8S ribosomal RNA". From Rfam's summary of the family: 5.8S ribosomal RNA (5.8S rRNA) is a component of the large subunit of the eukaryotic ribosome. It is transcribed by RNA polymerase I as part of the 45S precursor that also contains 18S and 28S rRNA. Functionally, it is thought that 5.8S rRNA may be involved in ribosome translocation. RNAcentral also lists the same sequence under 6 other names. Lineage: Eukaryota; Viridiplantae; Streptophyta; Magnoliopsida; Lamiales; Lamiaceae. The record is from RNAcentral.